Molecule: long non-coding RNA, 10145 nt
Organism: Pipra filicauda (Wire-tailed manakin)
Lineage: Eukaryota; Metazoa; Chordata; Aves; Passeriformes; Pipridae
Exons: 2
Source: RefSeq, a predicted model, not a curated record
ACCCUCCAGGACGGUGGGUCUGGUGCCGAGCUCGAUGUCCACGGUCACAGUGCGAGUUUAUGGACGGGGAGUUUGAUCUGGAAACGAAUUCGCGGCUUCCUCCUGUCCUUUGUACACCGCUGAGCUCCGGCUUGGGCUAGAGAGAAGGAUGGACGGCCGUGAGCCAGCCAGGAGCAGGAAGCACUGAGAGAGAGAGGGAGAGACGAAUUACUAACAUUUAUGAAUGAAAGACACAACGAAAGGUAACCUUCAGCAGGAGCCAGCCCCCCCAAACCCCGCAGCUCCGACGGGACCGAGAACGCUCUUCUCUUCGUCUCUGCCUUCGCUUUUCCCAGCGCAAACAGACCCUAGUAAUAACCAAAUCAGGGGCUCGGCAAGGGCCAGAGGUGCCGGCGGAGGCGCGGGCAGUGCACGUCCGAGCCCGUCCUGUUUGAACACGCUCCAGACGGAGCUUUGAUCCCCGCCGGGGAAUCAGCGCUGGGUAUCUCUGCUUUGUUGGCCGUCGCUAUCUGCUGGCGAUAAGGGGUGGCCGAGGGAGCUGCCCUUGCCGUCCUCCUGCUGUAGGCUCCGUGCGGAGCGAGGCGAGCGCGGCCGGCGGGACGAGGCGAUGCGGCGGCCGCGGGAAAGGGGGCAGUGCAGCCCCAGGAACGGAGCGGAGCGGAGCGGAGCGGGUCCCUGCGCGCCGCCUGCCUCCUGGGGAGGGUACCGGCCCCAGAUCUGCGCCCCAGGGCUUCUCCUGCUUCCUCCCCUCCCCAAUCUGGCAUCACCACCACCCGCAUCUCUUUUUCCCUUUUAAUAUUAAACAAAAGAAAAGUUUGUUCUCAAAGUCAAGAGCCAGGAUCCAGUGGUUUUUCUCUUUACUGAGUGAAGCAGAAUUAAGCCUCUGAAGCGAAGAUGCCCCGGAGGGAAUGGGUACAGAAACGAGAACCGACUCCCAUGGAACCGCGCUCAGGCUGGGGUACCCCCGGCUGGGCUCGCAGGGUCCCCGGUGGCGCUCCCGGCCCUUUGCACGCCCUCCACUAGUGCAUCCACGGCUCGGGUGAGUGCACAACCCCGCUAUUGCUUCCACAUGUUCCUCCAGGAAAUCAUCGGAGUCAGAACUGUGAGCAGCCCCUGGUCGGAAUGCUAACAGGAUACCGUAAUGCUUGUGAAUAAACAACAGGCUCCCAGUGAGUCAAAAGUAUGGCAAAAAAAAAAUCCCCCAAAACCAAAACAAAAUAAACCAAAAUCCAAAACUAAACAACCAAAAAACAACACGGGGGGAAAAAACUCACACUGCACCCUGGAACUCUGCAUCUGGGAGGGUGAGCGUACCUAGUAGCCUGAACCCCUUAAUUUGUGGAGGGAAAUGUUCUAUCAUGACUUGGAUCAGAGCUGUGAGGUCUCGCAAAUAUAAGCCCCGCGAAGAUGAGCGUCAACUGUCUGUGCGCCCCGAGGCGAUCUUGCAGGAUUCGGUCCUUGAUGUAUCGGCGUGAGCGUGUCUGGUUUAACGUGCGGGGCAGAGGUGGUGAUUCCUGGCGAAGUAUCAUCAUGAUGGGAUGUAAUGCGAGAGUUACUCUUGCGAAAAGAAAGGAGCAAAAUGAAAGGGGAGGAGGCGCCUUCUGGUUGCAAUUACCUGGCUCAUUUGAAUAAUGCCUUUGUCAUGAUCAUUAUCGAGAGGUCGUUAACGGCUUCCACGUGGGAUCUCACAAGACCCAACGAAAAAUAAAAAUUGCAAACUGAGGGACUGGCAAAGCUGCCUGCCAGGCAAGGCUGGCGCUGCAGGCGGGGGCCCGACGGCUUUGCGGGGACAGGGACGGCGGUGUCCCGUCGCCCAGACCCCCUUCUGGGGAGCGGUGAUACUUUUCCCUUCCCUACGCUAAGGGCCCGGCUGCGCCGUCCCCAUGCCCGCCGCCCCGACAAGGACCGAGCCGGCGGGAGGUGGGCUCUACCGGUUCUCGUCGUUGGGCCGAUCCCCCUCCUCAGUAUCGGUGGUGUCUAUGGAUUGGUUCCGCGCAGAGGAGGUGGUAGUUAAAAUAAACCCUCCGGGACGUCUGCUGAGCUCUGCCCCCCGCCCUGUGUGGUGCAGGGGGGUCCCGUCCAGAGAGGCGCGGGGGACGUGGGGUUAGCGAGAGGACAAGUGGGGGUGGGGGAACUUUUUACCAUUGCGGCCCCCUCUCCUCUCCCCUCUCCUCCCGCCUUCCCCUUUCCUGAAGGGUUGGAGCAUAAAGUAUCCCGCUAGCCUAUGUUUAUGUGGCAACAGAUGGAAGCUGCACACGUCUUAAACAAAACUGCGGUGCCCGAGCUAGAGCAGCUCUCGCCUGUUUAUGCUCUCAGCCUACCCCCCGGCCUGGAUGGGUGGGUGUACGUCCCGCUCCCGGGCCCGCGGCGCCGGCAGAAGCCGGGCAUCGGGGGCACUGACGGGGCGGGUUAUUGCAGGGCGGCUCGCUCGGCUCCCGGACGCUUCCAGAGGGGCUGGUAACUUUCGAGCCGCCCUGCUUAGCAUUCUCCUCCCUGGGGAAAUCCCAAUUUGUUGCAAGUAAUAAGCUCUUUCCUGCGGCUCUCUCCCAAGGGUGAACCGUGAAGCGGUUGGCUGGCUGAGCCUAUUGGACAAUGCAAUGGGUGGCUCAUGUGGGGUCCGAGCGGCCACCGGCGGGACGGUGCAGGCGAGAGGGCCCCGCGGGAAGGCCCGCCGUGGGGCCGCAGCCUUUUGACUGGAUGGGAAAACAUGUCUGGGUUUGAUUAUCGUUACCCACGUUCAGCGACGCACGGAAUGGGAGUCACCCUUUUUACCUUUUAGAGCAGGAACCCUUGCCUGGCGAAGAGCAGCUACAGCGUGGAGCAGAGAGCCCUGAAACCCCUGAGACAGAGAGAAAACAGAGCGACCUGUCAUAACUUGUCGCUAUAAAUCCGUGCUCACAUCUGAGCGAACUCAGCGGCGAGGGCUUCCUGAAAUAGACGGAGACCUAGUCAGGCGACCGCCAAGGCCUCGAGCCCCGCCGAGAGAUGUGCUCUGCUGGCGGGAGGGCCCUGUGUACAUUUGCAGUCCUACCAGGUUUUUAUUUCUUUUCGUAUUUCCACAAAUACAGAUUCCCUCAUAUUGUUUGUUCAACAGAAUUUGGCUCUGAAUAGCAGGGGUCCCGUGUCACCGGGAAGACAGGGAGCCAGACAAAAGAAAUAACUUUGCCCAGCCUGCCCUCUCUAGCCUUUAUUUUUAUUCCCCACAUGGUUGGUUAUGGUAGCUCCCCGUGCCCGUCGUUUUCCCACUGAGGCCGCUGCUGCAACGACGUCGAGCUGUUUUCCUCUUAUUGUUGCUUUUGGCUCUUGACGUUAAAAGAUGCCAGAACAGCCGUGGAAGCCUUAUUCUUUGAAAAGCAGGCUUUGUUUUUCCUUUUGCUCCCGCCCUGACGUUUUUUUUCACUGCGGCAGAACGGAUAGCCCGCUUUGGUCCAGAAGCAGCCUGAACCAAGUUUAGGGGUGAGCAUAUAGAAAAAAAAUAAGAGGAGAAUGGGAAGGAUCUCUGCUGCAUGGUGACCCUCCCCAGCUUGAAAGCUGACACGGAACACUUGGGUUAUCUCAACUUCAUACUCCUUGGGCUUGUUUACUCCUUUGUGCAAUGAUGAAGUUGUGCUGGCUCAUUUUCAAGCUAUUGCAACAGUCACAUACUGAGACUCUUCCUCCAUCUGUGUGUCUUCAGAUUGUAGCACAUUCCCACUUGCUGAACUGGGAACAGAUAAAAACUGGGACAAGAGAAAGACAGGUUGUUUGCCCCUUUGUGGUAAAACCAGUGACAAGACUCUAAACUGUGCUGGUGGCACAAGCAAAGUGGAUGCUUGCUGCAGUUAUGGACUCAGAAGAUACCUGAGAGAGAAGGAAAUCGUGAUGGAUUUGGUCAAUCUGGAGAUGCAAGACUUCUCUAAAUAAUUCUGAGAACAGGAAGUGGUGAAAAACAGGGACAGGAUCAAAGAAAUACGCACAGUUCCUUUCCAGCUCCUUCUGCCUCCAGCAUCAUCUUGUUAUAGUUGAUGUGACUGUUCAGCUACAGGCUGAACAGACAGUGUGGCUGCAGUCCUAAGUGUUCCUAUGGUACAUCAAAAGACAGGAAACUUUGAAGAAAUGCAUAAUUUCAUGAAAAUAUUAAUAAAUGUUUGGUGUGCUGCCUCAAGAAAAUGAGAUAUGUUGCAUUUGCAGUAAUGCAGAUAACAUUCAUGCAAGAAAAAUCUAGAAGAAUGUGACUGCACACAAUAUUUAGGCUAAUUUUUACUUUAUUUGACAACUGCUUUGAGAGGAAAACAGCAUUUUAGAAAGAUUUUUUGUUUCCUAUACUCAUAUCAUAAGGAUUUUGAAGUGCAAAGGUCACUCAUUUUUCUAAAGAGUGUGGUGACACAGAUCAAAAAGUUAUAUCAUGGCAUUAAAUUAUCUUCAUUACAAACUUUGAUCACUAUCAGGUUGUUAUGAUUCUUACUGGAGAAAAACUAAAAAAAAAUCAAGUCCCACUAGCACAGUUUUGAAAUGCUAUCUCUAGUAUUUCUUUUGAAAUGCCUUUGAAAUAUUUUUGUCACAUUAUUUGUUCUUAGUAGUUUGUUUUCCUAAUCUUUGAGUUUUAUAUUUUCACAAGGGUCUUUUUAUUAAAAAAAAAACCUGAAUAGCUCCCUCAUGAGAGAAAAAGAGACGCCAAGUUUGUUUAGUAUAUUACAUAUCGCUUGCCACUUUGAUAGUUACCUAAUUUGCAGACAUGGGCAUAAUUUCAAGUUGGCAGUGCCGCCUUAAACUUUGAUUUCAAGAAUGCUGUUUUAUUAACAUGAUCUGACAGAGUCCCAUAAACCAGCAAAGUUGUGCAAUGCUUCUUCCGUGUUUUCAUCUCUUAGCACAGAUUUGUUAUUUUCAGAAAAGAAUGACAUUGCACCAUUUCUGGAGCAAUGUAGAUGACUUCAAAAGUCACCUCUUCUAGAAAAUGAUUACUAUAAUCUAUUAUUUAAUCCUCUAUCUAAUCCAGGAACUGUCAAAACCAGAUUGAUUACUGUCUAGAAAAAAUGAAUGGAAAAAAUAAAACAUAGGGAAACAUAUGAAUAAACUGCAUACAGAUGCACUUUUUUAUCAUACUUUUCUAUGUACUUAUAUAUGCAAGCAUACUUGUACCUGGCAGUUUUCUUAAUUCAUCUACAUUUCCCCUUCACACUUGGGUUUGUUUUCAACAGUCAUUUACUUGAUUUUUUGUUUUGCAGAAAGUAAUCAGUUAAGAUCAGCACUCUGCCAUGUUCAAUGCUUUUUAUACACAUAUAUAGCUAUAAAUGGAUAUAUAUAAAUACACGUAAGGCCCAGAGUCUGCAGUGACAUGAGUGUGACAGAGAGAGUGUGACAGUCCUUGUCCCUAGCAAAGGCUGCAGCUGCUCUCCAAAAGCCUCUCCAGAGCAGCACAGCAAGGAAGAUUCUGCCAAUAAAGUCUAUUGGAAUCAAGUUGGGAAGCAUCCUUGGCAGGCAAGAAGACAGCAGUCAAGAAAGAAGUUAAGGACCAAAGUGAGAGAAGUGAGACAAAACCUGGUGUGAGAAAGUGCAAGUUCAUGUAUCAAAAAGUUACGAACAGUUUUUGCUGUGAAUAUAAGAAAGAUUAGUAGACAGAUGGGAUAAUUUUGAGCUCCCAGACAUUUAAUGAUCAAAAUAAAAUAUAUUAAAAAAAAAAAAAGAAAAAGAAAAACAGAUAACAGAAAGUAUCAGGAUAGGAAUUGACAUCAAAGACAUCAGAGAAUAAAUGCCAUUCUACAAGGCACUAGGUAUUACCCUGUUUAGCUGUAUUCAAGCAUAUCCAGGAAAAAGAAAUCCUAGGUUCAGGAGAAGGGCUACCUUGAACAGGGUAAGAUAAGAGGACACAUAGGGAGCCUGGCUAUGUCAGUCUGUCAAACUGAAAACUGAAAAUGAGUAAGUGUCUUCAAAAUGUAACAACAGAGUAAAUACCAGAAGAGAGAAUAUUCAUUUAAGAAAAAGCAAAAGAACAAAUAUGCUAAAAGGUAAUGGUAAAUAAUGUAUCAGUAAAGAAGUAAAUGUUGAUCAUGAACAUGUUUACAAUGAUAACAAAAUGUUUCCAAGCACCAGAGUGAUGAGUUUAGAGACGGUCCUCUAAAAUGAUGGGCUGGUCAUCAAGAGCACUGCAGCAAUCUAAGAGGUGAAAGACCCCCCAUGGCUCCAGUCUCAGAGGACCAGGCUCUGUAUAAUCCUGAAGACCAUUUGUUUUGCCAGAAGGAUGGGACAGCAAAGGCAAGUGGGCAUCAAAACUGUUCCAUCCCCAGCUUGGGGAACCAAGCUAUGAAGCAGUGGCUCCUAUUACGGGAAGGAGGUAUCUCCUUCACCUCCACUACUAUAGUAACCUCCACUAUACACAUAUCAAUUCAUCCCUUGCUGGUGGCUGCAGUAACUGUAGUCUGAUUUUCCAGAGUUUUUAGAUACAUAGAAGAGGUUGAGCGUUGUCCAUGCUGAGAAUUAGUGCUGAAUUAUGACACUCUACAAACUACUGCAGUGCAGAAAGGAAUAAAUCUCUUUAUUAUGAUUUUUAAAUGUUCUAAAUAAAAGGAUAGUUAUUACUUGGCUUGUUAGAAGCUCAGUGGUUGCUCAGGAUUUCCUGAGCAGGUUAUUGGGCAGGUCAUCAGACAGAUUACACUUUUCUGAAGCUUGUAGUAACUAGCUGCUAGCUAUGGUUACUCUCCAGUAUUGAAUUAAAAUGCUGGAGUAGGAGGCAGAAAGAAGACCAGGAAUGGAAUCAAAGCUGCAAUCUGUUAACUUCACUGAGACAUGGCACACUCCUCUGAGAGCAGCUCAGCACAUUGUUAGUGCAUCAGUUUGUGAAGGCUCCCUUCUCACCACACAGCCCUUCAGAAGUUGGCUAGGGAAGACAGCAUAUCACGAAAUACCUUGGCGGUGUGCUGGAUUCUCUUAUUACACCACCACGAGUAAAGGAACACUAUUAAGUCAGGCGUAGCUGGAAGUUGUAUUUGCAGAGUGAUCUGGACCUCAUGUUAUUUGUAUCUGUAAAACUAUUAACCCUUGCACUCUUCUUUCAACGCUCUGUUCUAUUUUCUUUUCGAAAUGAUAAAGGGAAUGAAGUUUGUGGGUAAUUCCUAAGUAACUCUGCGCUCAGCUGCCAUCAUUGCUUGGUCUUAGGGGUUUCUCUCUCUUCAGGACUCACAUCUAAGUUUAUUCAAAUAAUGGUAUAUAGGGCCUGAUACUGUACCAGCCUCUUCUCAUUUUCAUAUACUUGUUGCUUCUUAGUUGCUCAAAGACACAGAACGAAGAUUUCACCAAGGUGGAGAGAAAUAUUCCUUCUGCUAGCUCAGGCUCAUAGGGCAAAUGCCACCCUUGCUUGUUGAGUUUUCUUGUCAUCUCUCCAUCUCCCCUUCUUCUUUUCUGCUUCCAGAAACAACAGUAUUUUGUCUUGAAGCAAACUUUCUGCAUUCCACUUGCUAUUUUUGUCAGUGGUGUAAGGCAUGCACCUGCUUUUCAUUAAUCUAGCAAUCUCACAAAGCUUCAGAAAUACUUGUUUGAAUAGGGAUGCCAGUAUACCUCUAUGGAUGUGGCUCACCCUUUACCUCUGGGGACAUCACCUGUAACUCAGAGGGCAGAGGUCUGUAUUUUGAAGCUGAAGGACAAUACUUCUGUUUCUAUGUUCACAGCUCAUUGAGUUUUAGAAAUAAUUUGUCAACUGCAUCCUGAGUCUGUGCCACAUGGCUCCACUAACAUAUCCACAAAAUCUGUCAGAAAAAUACGCUGGUUGACUGCAUUCAGUGAAAAUGUUGCAUGUUUCCUGCAGAGUGACAAAUUCCAGCAUUAAAAUGAGGUCUCUGUAUCAGCACACAUGGAGGCAGAAGGGGAUUAGAGUCCUUUCAAUAAUCAAAAAUGUAUAAAGUUGAGGCUUGAUUCAUAGCCUGAAUCACAACUCAUUGAAUUUUCUGGAGUAAGUCCAGAGGCUGCAGUAGGCUUUGGAUCACUUCCAGCCUCCAAAAAAAUAAAUAGCUGAAAUUUAAUAUCCUGAUAUAUAUAUAUGGGAGUCCACAUUAGAUGAGCUAAUAAUUUCAUUUUGGACUUUAACUCUGUGCAUCUUGUCAAGUCUGAAGCUUUUUUGGCCUUUUAAAAGCAGCUGUAGCAUGAAUUGUCUCAAGAAAACACAAAGUAGAUGCCUACACUGCACAGCAGGGUAUUCUACAGAGAUCCCAGAGCCACUGCUGACUGUACAUUGUCCCCUCAGCUGCAUGGCACCGUGCCCAGGCUAAUAAGACCUGCUGAAUGACAUAGUUUGUUAGUGUCAUAGCAGCUUGGAUUUUAGAGCUUCCGAUCUCCUCUGUUCCUUGCACCCAUCCCCACAUGGAAACUCCACCAGUUUCUGUCCUUUCUACUCAGCUUCUUAUAGGAUUGUUCCCCAAUAUGUUUCUCACAAAAUGGCUCAGGUUAGCAAAAGUCAUCUCUUUAAUCCAAUUAACUUAACGUGGUCCAUCUCUGUUGGCUAUAAAAAAGGGAUGACUUUAUAGGAGCCUCUCUGUUGGCAUAUACAAGUGGCAUGGAGCUGCUGGGACUGUAAGGAUAAACAGCUGUGCUGGGACAUCUUCUAUCACCCAGCUGCCACCAAAAAAUUCAUCCCAAAGAUUUUACCCCAGAAAUAUUACCAUGGUCUGUCAUCUAAAAGUGUCUGUGUCUUUUUCUCUUUUAAAAACAAUGCAUCAAGUCCUAAACAUCUUAUCCCAGGCAAUGCUUGCAGUCUUCUACACUGACACAACUGUUUUGUUCUUGAGCAAAGAUGUAGCUCAGCAUUCAGUCAGGAAUUUGGGAUUCAGCAUUAAAUGCAAGUAGAACAAUUACAAACAAAAAAAAUUCCUUUACUGAUUUCUUUGGUCACACUUCAGUUCUUAAAGGAGAGAAAUCAAAUGUAAAAAGGAGAAUGGUAUUGCUCCAUCUGCUACAAGUUUCAAAGCAGAAAAAUGUUCCUAUCAUCCUAAACACACAAACACCAACAUGAUAAUAUUUUCCCCAGACUUUUAAGUCUUAUUCCCUCUUAAGACCAUUGAUUAUGCUUCUCUGUGAGAAGAAAGACUAUAAUUGCAGGUUUCUCUCUAAAUAUUAAAAGGCAGCAGUGGCAAUUUUGCUGAAAGGAGAUGUGGCACACAACAUUUUCCCAUUAUGUUUUUCAGUUGCUUUUAAAGUAGAGUGAAUCAGCAUUGUUUUCCAAAUACCAGGAAGGCACUAAUAACUCUUAUGAAGGAGGAAUGGAAGUAACAGUUGGUCAUUUUACUGCAAAAAGUAGUUAUUACUCUAAUAAUGAAUCAUUUGAAACCUUCACAUGGUCCAUUAUAACAAUAUUUUAAAUCAAACUGUAAGAGACUUAACCCCAUAAAUCUGAAAAUGGCCUAAACCCUCUGGGAAUGACAAUACUUUCUUGACAGGCCAGAUUCUUUCUGAAAUCAAGAAAGAUUUUUACUUUCCUGGGAAAAGCUAUGAGACAUUCAUGUUGUCAGAACUCAGCCCACUGUUUUAAAUGACAGCAUUGCCAACUGACCAUCCUGCGCGCUGUAUUAUAGUCAUUUUCUCUCAUCAAAAUAUUUUCCUGAGCAGUUUAACAAAAUGUUCGUCAGUUCAGCAUAAAGAGAUCCCACUCUUGCCUACAUAGGUCCAAAUCAUGAGGAAUCCAAUUGAACUAACACCAUACCACUGCACAUCCGAUAUAUGAAAGGAGAAUCAGGCAGGAGAAUGAAGCAGGUAUAUGCUACCUGCCAUUUAAUAUAAACUUCUCAAAUUAAGCACCUGUUAACAUUAAGUUAUACAGCUGUAUCAUGCAUAUUUGUGGAAAAAAAAUCUUUAUACAUAUGUGUUUGUAUUUCAAAAUCUAGUUUCUUUUCCAUUUAAAAAAGCAUCAAUCUUUCUUACCCACCACAAGAAAGGUUCUUUCAUCGUCUCAGACCCAAUUUCUGAUGUACGGUAAGGGUUUCCCAACCUUGUUGUACUGUAGAAGUGAAUUAGCAGCAUUUAGGAAGAGGAAGCAAAGAAUGCCAAGAAAUCCUCCCAAUCUGGACAAUACACAAGCACGGUAAAUCUGGGACCCAAUAGAGAAACUUAUAAAGAUGACCUGAAACUGAGGUCAACAUCAAAAUAAAGAAGCAAUGUCAUUAAUAAAAGUGCAUGUAAUAUUU